This 2231-nucleotide long non-coding RNA is filed under the name Equus caballus (horse). Its description in RNAcentral is "lncRNA (ENSECAG00000059532.1)". The record is from RNAcentral. Lineage: Eukaryota; Metazoa; Chordata; Mammalia; Perissodactyla; Equidae.
AUUAAUUUAUUCUUUGAGUUGCAGCUGCUCCCAGGUCAUAUAGUACUUUGGGGUAAAAUUAAGCAAAAGUAUCACCUUGUCUUACGGCAAAAGCUUUCUUACCUCUGCUCUGGGAAGUAGUCCCACACCUCCUGGAAGCUAGGAGAAAAUGAUUUCUGCUAUCAAAUAUAGUUGAGUUUGAAACUUCAGUAGUUCUCUGGUCUGUCUGGAUUUUGGCACAGCGGCUGGACAAGGCUCUUUAACUGGAGUUCUUCAACUUCCUUUGUGGCUCUCAGGCAGGCAUCAAUAUAAAGAGCUGCAUAUUAUUCCAGAGAGACUUGAUGCUGGGACCUACAGCUACUGCUUUAUAAUGGUAAGCAACCUGAGGCCCAGAGAGGUGAAAUGUUUUUGAGUUCACACAACAACUUGAGGUGAGUUUAGAUUGGGAUGAUGGUCUUGUGACAUAUUGAAGACACCGACUGAGAAUCACAAGUCCCUUAUCUGUCUCAAGUGCUCUGAUUCUACAAUCGCCAGGCUAUGGUUUUGGUUUGUCCAGCAAGCUUCCUGUCCUUCAAUCAUUGGUGAGGAUUUUUUGAGCAUAGCCCAGUCUCCUUACCUGUGGGAUGUCUUGGGGCUCACUGGCACAUAUUUUCUGUUUUACAGAUAAACUCCUGAUCAGAUAGGCUCAGUCCAUACUCUGCACCUCACUCUCUCUAUUGCUUUGGUGACAGACCAUAUUCCCACUUCCCUCUUAUCCUGACUCCUGACUAAGCACAACCCUUAGAGUCUCUCCACACCUUCAGUCACUGAGGGCUCUGCUCCUUAGUGUGGCGUUGCUAGCCAACUUAUCCCAACUUUGCAGGUGGUACCCAGGCAAUCUCUUAUGUGUGCCCUGUACUGUGCUAGAUGCCAAUAGAGACAAAAGACUCAGGAAACUUCGUCACAGCCUUUGAUCAGUUGCCUCAGCACAAAGGCAAACUUUUUAACAUAGCUCACAAGGUCCUUUUUCAUGAUUGGGUCUGACCUUAAAAUGAAGAAAUCAUGGUCGUUCCUAAACAAAUGAUUGUCCCUCCAAUAUCACAGGUUACAUUCUAUUCUUUCCCCUUUCCUUACUUGUAACUCCCUCUUCCAAAAGUAAGAAACUUAGCUCCUCUUGAUAACCGUUUUUUUAAAACUCUGAUUUUUGAAAUAAUUUUAGACCUACAGCAAAGUUACACAGAUAGCACAGAGAGUUCCUAUAUACUUCUCACUUAGUUUCUAUUUAUCGUCUUGAAUAACCCUGGUACAUUUAUCAGAAGUAAAACUUAACAUUGGUGUGUUACCAGCAACUAAACUCCAGAUUUCCUUUACUACUUUUCCCACUGAUAUCCUUUGUUUGUUCCAAGAUCCAAUCCAGGAUACUGCAUUUUAUUUAAACCUCAGUUUUUUGUUUUUUGUUUUUUUGAGGAAGAUUAGCCCUGAGCUAACAUCUGCUGCCAAUCGUCCUUUUUGCUGAGGAAGACUGGCCUUGAGCUAACAUCCAUGCCCAUUUUCCUCUACUUUAUAUGUGGGACGCCUACUACAGCAUGGCUUGCCAAGCAGUGCCACGUUCGCUCACACCCAGGAUCCGAACCGGCGAACCCUGGGCUGCCCAAGCAGAACGUGCGAACUUAAUCACUGUGCCACCAGGCCUGCUCUAGCCCUCAAUAUUUUUAAAGGUACUGCCCAAAUAGUGCUGGGUCUGCAGCUUGAAGGUGAGGUGUGGGCCUAUUUUCUGCACCCUGCAACAUAAAAUCCAAACCUGUGGCCUUUCUGAAUAAAAUUGAAUUUUCAUCUUAAUUUGAAGUACAGGUGUUUAGAGAUGUCAAGCCAUGAGACAAGGAAAAGUCAACAUGAAGUAGACACUUUCUUUCCCAUGAGUAAUAAAACUUUAAGAUCACAAUAUUAUUUCCAUUACAAGAACAUGAAUAAUGUGAACGGUGGCUUUACUAUUGCUGAGUGUUUUGUUGGGCACGUUUCUAUUGAGUCACCUCAUGUUUUAAAAUUCUAGACACAGGGAAAGCAGAGUUGGCAAAGGUUGGCCAAGAGAACUAAGCUCCCAGGAGGUUGUAUUUUAUGUUUUUCCCUAAAAUAAGCCAGAUAUGAUGCUGGAAAUUUUUUACACACUAUUUUAAUUGUACAAAACCUGGUGUGGUUAUGGUUUUCCUCAUUUUUAGAGUUGAGAAAAUUUAGCCAUGAAGUAUUUUAAAAAGUUUCUCAACAUUACGUCGCAG